RNAcentral lists this small RNA (31 nucleotides) under Bombyx mori (domestic silkworm). RNAcentral's name for it is "ovarian small RNA-25700". Lineage: Eukaryota; Metazoa; Arthropoda; Insecta; Lepidoptera; Bombycidae. The record is from RNAcentral.
UCAGCGUCACCAAAGACAAUAAGUCUCGCCU